UUAGCUCAUAUUUGUAUGGAAUGGGAUCGUUUGCGUACGUUUGCCGCUAGGGGCGCUGUUCCAACUGCAUACAAAAAUGGCUUA
This 84-nucleotide microRNA precursor is filed under the name Bombyx mori (domestic silkworm). Its description in RNAcentral is "mir-2807 microRNA precursor family". It matches the Rfam family "mir-2807 microRNA precursor family". The record is from Rfam by way of RNAcentral. Lineage: Eukaryota; Metazoa; Arthropoda; Insecta; Lepidoptera; Bombycidae.